GGUCCCUUGGAUUAGUGGUCAUAUCGUUCGGUUUUGACUCUAAUUUAAGAUCAUUCCGAAAGGUCGCCGGUUCAAUCCCGGCAGGGACCU
This 90-nucleotide transfer RNA is filed under the name Penicillium decumbens. It matches the Rfam family "tRNA". From Rfam's summary of the family: Transfer RNA (tRNA) molecules are approximately 80 nucleotides in length. Their secondary structure includes four short double-helical elements and three loops (D, anti-codon, and T loops). Further hydrogen bonds mediate the characteristic L-shaped molecular structure. tRNAs have two regions of fundamental functional importance: the anti-codon, which is responsible for specific mRNA codon recognition, and the 3' end, to which the tRNAs corresponding amino acid is attached (by aminoacyl-tRNA synthetases). tRNAs cope with the degeneracy of the genetic code in two manners: having more than one tRNA (with a specific anti-codon) for a particular amino acid; and 'wobble' base-pairing, i.e. permitting non-standard base-pairing at the 3rd anti-codon position. The record is from Rfam by way of RNAcentral. Lineage: Eukaryota; Fungi; Ascomycota; Eurotiomycetes; Eurotiales; Aspergillaceae.